Molecule: unclassified non-coding RNA, 317 nt
Filed under: uncultured Gaeumannomyces
Lineage: Eukaryota; Fungi; Ascomycota; Sordariomycetes; Magnaporthales; Magnaporthaceae
Description: sequence contains ITS1
Rfam family: 5.8S ribosomal RNA (bases 1-105)
Source: RNAcentral
GAAAUGCGAUAAGUAAUGUGAAUUGCAGAAUUCAGUGAAUCAUCGAAUCUUUGAACGCACAUUGCGCCCGCCGGUAUUCCGGCGGGCAUGCCUGUCCGAGCGUCAUUUCACCACUCAAGCCCAGCUUGGUGUUGGGGCACCCGGCCGCCCGGCGGUCGGGGCCCCCAAGAACAUCGGCGGUCUCGCUAGGACCCUGAACGCAGUAACUCGCGGUAAAACGCGCUUCGUUCGGCGGCUUCCCGGCGGGCUCCAGCCGCUAAACCCCCUAAAUUUCUUAGGUUGACCUCGGAUCAGGUAGGAAUACCCGCUGAACUUAA